CAGUCGCCGCGGGAAUACGUAGGGUGCAAGCGUUAAUCGGAAUUACUGGGCGUAAAGCGUGCGCAGGCGGUUUGUUAAGGCAGAUGUGAAAUCCCCGGGCUCAACCUGGGAACUGCAUUUGUGACUGGCAGGCUAGAGUAUGGCAGAGGGGGGUGGAAUUCCGCGUGUAGCAGUGAAAUGCGUAGAUAUGCGGAGGAACACCGAUGGCGAAGGCAGCCCCCUGGGCCAAUACUGACGCUCAUGCACGAAAGCGUGGGGAGCAAACAGGAUUAGAUACCCGUGUAGUCCCUGUCUCUUAUAC
RNAcentral lists this ribosomal RNA (301 nucleotides) under uncultured bacterium. RNAcentral describes it as "partial 16S ribosomal RNA". It matches the Rfam family "Bacterial small subunit ribosomal RNA", at positions 509 to 807 of the family's 1533-position model. The record is from RNAcentral.